Molecule: non-coding RNA, 29 nt
Filed under: Mus musculus (house mouse)
Lineage: Eukaryota; Metazoa; Chordata; Mammalia; Rodentia; Muridae
Source: RNAcentral
UNGACAUUUGCUGGGUGGCUGGGAGGAAA